GCUACCAACGCAGGAAGGAGAGUCAUCCUGAAGGCUGGUGUGAGCAGAAUCUAAUCGAGCGGCGGACGGGUUCCUUCGGCAUGCCAGCAGAUCACGGCAGUGGUACGGCGAUAGGAAAUCCAGCUCCGUCAACGGUGCCGUGGACGAACCUGAGCCGUCGGCACAGGACCUGCUACAGCAGAUGAUCCUCAGUAAGCUACCAUUGCUACAGCUCUCCAGCACAUCGGACGCCUGCUGCGCUUGAACAUGGGCGGUACCGACCCUUUCUUGCCAACGCGACCCGGUCAGAAGACUUCCUUGUCGACUUAGACGCUUUCACGAGACUGCCGUCCGAGUCACCGACGAGGCCGUCCGGCGUGGAGUACCGUUCGUAGCUCCUGGUUGACUGUCCUUCCCGUGACAUCUUUCACUUGCCAGGCGUUUGAACAGGUGGGAGGAAGUGUGCUGUUAUCGCCGACAGACCCCCCUUUAGACGUGGUGUCUCCCUUUUCUACUUCGAACAAACCUCAAGCUUGUUAAGCAGUAGCGCUACGAGCGCGGAAAAUAAAUGCGUAUCUUGACAGCUGCAAGCGGACAGAUUACGAUGCAGUGGGCUUCUGCAAGGAACGGCGGUGUAUGCAAAUAAACAUGAUGUUAAACAUGCUAAUCUUGUUAA
Ornithodoros turicata is the source of this 655-nucleotide long non-coding RNA. RefSeq lists it as uncharacterized. The transcript has 2 exons. The record is from RefSeq and is a predicted model, not a curated record. Lineage: Eukaryota; Metazoa; Arthropoda; Arachnida; Ixodida; Argasidae.